RNAcentral lists this ribosomal RNA (414 nucleotides) under uncultured bacterium. RNAcentral describes it as "bacterial SSU rRNA". It matches the Rfam family "Bacterial small subunit ribosomal RNA", at positions 355 to 787 of the family's 1533-position model. The record is from RNAcentral.
UGGGGAAUAUUGCACAAUGGGGGAAACCCUGACGCAGCGACGCCGCGUGAAGGAAGAAGUAUCUCGGUAUGUAAACUUCUAUCAGCAGGGAAGAAAAUGACGGUACCUGACUAAGAAGCCCCGGCUAACUACGUGCCAGCAGCCGCGGUAAUACGUAGGGGGCAAGCGUUAUCCGGAUUUACUGGGUGUAAAGGGAGCGUAGACGGAGCAGCAAGUCUGAUGUGAAAGGCAGGGGCUCAACCCCUGACUGCAUUGGAAACUGUUGAUCUUGAGUACCGGAGGGGUAAGCGGAAUUCCUAGUGUAGCGGUGAAAUGCGUAGAUAUUGCGCAGAACUCCGAUUGCGAAGGCAGCGUACUGGCGCCUGACUGACGCUGAGGCACGAAAGCGUGGGGAUCGAACAGGAUUAGAUACCC